ACAAAAUAAAUGGAGUGAAGUAGUAUACAAAACAUAAAUAACACAAUUUUCUUUUAUAUAAGAUUUGUAUUGUACAAAGUAUGCAAAUAAACAGAUGACUUAUUAAAUCUUUAAGAAUAAAUUUAUAUUGCCUUUAUAUUGUACUUAUAAAAUUGUCAUUAAGGAGGAUCUAAAAACAUAGUUAAAAUAAUUAUUUACAAACAUAAAAUAAAGAUUUAGCUUCUACUUCACUCCUCUGUUUAUAUAUUUAUAGAUUUAGACAUAUUACCUAUAACAGAGAGCAUGUACAUAUUAUAUGCAUAUGCAUAUUAUAGAAAAUAUAAUGCCAGUCAUUGAUGACCACCAUGGUCUCAUUGUGAGAACAUGUGGUUACGGAUGAUUACCGUGGCAGUCAACAUGUUAAAGACUACGAAACACAUA
Long non-coding RNA from Apis mellifera (honey bee), 420 nucleotides. RefSeq lists it as uncharacterized. The transcript has 2 exons. Lineage: Eukaryota; Metazoa; Arthropoda; Insecta; Hymenoptera; Apidae. The record is from RefSeq and is a predicted model, not a curated record.